This 317-nucleotide long non-coding RNA is filed under the name Carica papaya (papaya). Its description in RNAcentral is "long non-coding RNA (CPAP_LNC004970)". Lineage: Eukaryota; Viridiplantae; Streptophyta; Magnoliopsida; Brassicales; Caricaceae. The record is from RNAcentral.
AUGGAUAACUUGGAAGCAUGGGCAGUUUGAGUACAUUUGUAUGUAUAGCAAUAGAGACCCAAAUUUUGUUCUAGAAUCUAAACAGUCCAUCAUCAAAGAUCCUAAAAUCAGGAGAUUUGUUAGAAGUGAACACCCAAAUUCUUGAUGAGUUCUGGGUCCGUGGCUUGUGCUUCCCAGAUUUUCAUAAAGAGAUCCGGUAUGGCUCAGAUCUGUGCGAGAUAGGUGCCCUUGAUGUAAUAGCUAAGGCAAAGCGAUUGUGCACUGUCCAUCAUCUUUCACCUAGAGGCCAUGGUUUGAGCUAGCACAACAGGCUCAUU